GGCGCGCUCUGCGCGCACCGGCGGACGGCUCAGUAACACGUCGGUAACCUACCCUCGGGAGGGGGAUAACCCCGGGAAACUGGGGCUAAUCCCCCAUAGGCCUGGGGUACUGGAAGGUCCCCAGGCCGAAAGGGGCUUUUGCCCGCCCGAGGAUGGGCCGGCGGCCGAUUAGGUAGUUGGUGGGGUAACGGCCCACCAAGCCGAAGAUCGGUACGGGCCAUGAGAGUGGGAGCCCGGAGAUGGACACUGAGACACGGGUCCAGGCCCUACGGGGCGCAGCAGGCGCGAAACCUCCGCAAUGCGGGCAACCGCGACGGGGGGACCCCCAGUGCCGUGGCACAGCCACGGCUUUUCCGGAGUGUAAAAAGCUCCGGGAAUAAGGGCUGGGCAAGGCCGGUGGCAGCCGCCGCGGUAAUACCGGCGGCCCAAGUGGUGGCCGCUAUUAUUGGGCCUAAAGC
This 458-nucleotide ribosomal RNA is filed under the name Thermococcus sp. 21S4. RNAcentral describes it as "bacterial SSU rRNA". It matches the Rfam family "Archaeal small subunit ribosomal RNA", at positions 62 to 516 of the family's 1478-position model. Lineage: Archaea; Methanobacteriati; Methanobacteriota; Thermococci; Thermococcales; Thermococcaceae. The record is from RNAcentral.